This 468-nucleotide ribosomal RNA is filed under the name uncultured bacterium. RNAcentral describes it as "partial 16S ribosomal RNA". It matches the Rfam family "Bacterial small subunit ribosomal RNA", at positions 28 to 507 of the family's 1533-position model. The record is from RNAcentral.
GACGAACGCUGGCGGCGUGCUUAACACAUGCAAGUCGAACGGAAAGGCCCUGCUUUUGUGGGGUGCUCGAGUGGCGAACGGGUGAGUAACACGUGAGUAACCUGCCCUUGACUUUGGGAUAACUUCAGGAAACUGGGGCUAAUACCGGAUAGGAGCUCCUGCUGCAUGGUGGGGGUUGGAAAGUUUCGGCGGUUGGGGAUGGACUCGCGGCUUAUCAGCUUGUUGGUGGGGUAGUGGCUUACCAAGGCUUUGACGGGUAGCCGGCCUGAGAGGGUGACCGGCCACAUUGGGACUGAGGUACGGCCCAGACUCCUACGGGAGGCAGCAGUGGGGAAUAUUGCACAAUGGGCGGAAGCCUGAAGCAGCAACGCCGCGUGCGGGAUGACGGCCUUCGGGUUGUAAACCGCUUUCGCCUGUGACGAAGCGUGAGUGACGGUAAUGGGUAAAGAAGCACCGGCUAACUACGUG